UAGAAAGUAAUAUAAAGGAAGUAUGAAGGGUUUUGAUCUCUUCUGUGCAGGUUCGAUUCCUGUUUUUCUAA
RNAcentral lists this transfer RNA (71 nucleotides) under Trogon curucui. Its description in RNAcentral is "tRNA-Gln". It matches the Rfam family "tRNA". From Rfam's summary of the family: Transfer RNA (tRNA) molecules are approximately 80 nucleotides in length. Their secondary structure includes four short double-helical elements and three loops (D, anti-codon, and T loops). Lineage: Eukaryota; Metazoa; Chordata; Aves; Trogoniformes; Trogonidae. The record is from RNAcentral.